Molecule: ribosomal RNA, 859 nt
Filed under: Collariella robusta
Lineage: Eukaryota; Fungi; Ascomycota; Sordariomycetes; Sordariales; Chaetomiaceae
Description: LSU rRNA
Rfam family: Eukaryotic large subunit ribosomal RNA
Source: RNAcentral
AUUGCCCUAGUAACGGCGAGUGAAGCGGCAACAGCUCAAAUUUGAAAUCUGGCUUCGGCCCGAGUUGUAAUUUGUAGAGGAAGCUUUAGGCGCGGCACCUUCUGAGUCCCCUGGAACGGGGCGCCAAAGAGGGUGAGAGCCCCGUAUAGUUGGAUGCCUAGCCUGUGUAAAGCUCCUUCGACGAGUCGAGUAGUUUGGGAAUGCUGCUCAAAAUGGGAGGUAAAUUUCUUCUAAAGCUAAAUACCGGCCAGAGACCGAUAGCGCACAAGUAGAGUGAUCGAAAGAUGAAAAGCACUUUGAAAAGAGGGUUAAAUAGCACGUGAAAUUGUUGAAAGGGAAGCGCUUGUGACCAGACUUGCGCCGGGCGGAUCAUCCGGUGUUCUCACCGGUGCACUCCGCCCGGCUCAGGCCAGCAUCGGUUCUCGUGGGGGGAUAAAGGCCCUGGGAACGUAGCUCCUCCGGGAGUGUUAUAGCCCAGGGUGUAAUGCCCUCGCGGGGACCGAGGUUCGCGCAUCUGCAAGGAUGCUGGCGUAAUGGUCAUCAGCGACCCGUCUUGAAACACGGACCAAGGAGUCAAGGUUUUGCGCGAGUGUUUGGGUGUAAAACCCGCACGCGUAAUGAAAGUGAACGUAGGUGAGAGCUUCGGCGCAUCAUCGACCGAUCCUGAUGUAUUCGGAUGGAUUUGAGUAAGAGCGUUAAGCCUUGGACCCGAAAGAUGGUGAACUAUGCUUGGAUAGGGUGAAGCCAGAGGAAACUCUGGUGGAGGCUCGCAGCGGUUCUGACGUGCAAAUCGAUCGUCAAAUCUGAGCAUGGGGGCGAAAGACUAAUCGAACCAUCUAGUAGCUGGUUACCGCCGAAG